Molecule: ribosomal RNA, 624 nt
Filed under: uncultured archaeon
Lineage: Archaea
Description: bacterial SSU rRNA
Rfam family: Archaeal small subunit ribosomal RNA
Source: RNAcentral
UAAUACCCUAUAGGUUACAGAUGCUGGAAUGCUCUGUAAUCAAAAGUUCCGGCGCCUUAGGAUGGAUCUGCGGUCGAUUAGGUUGUUGUUGGGGUAACGGCCCAACAAGCCUGUAAUCGAUACGGGUUGUGGGAGCAAGAGCCCGGAGAUGGAAUCUGAGACACGAUUCCAGGCCCUACGGGGCGCAGCAGGCGCGAAAACUUUACAAUGCAGGAAACUGUGAUAAGGGAACUCCGAGUGCCCGUAUACGCGGGCUGUCCAGGUGUUUAAAAAUCAUCUGAAGAAAGGGCCGGGCAAGACCGGUGCCAGCCGCCGCGGUAAUACCGGCGGCUCGAGUGGUGGCCACUAUUAUUGGGCUUAAAGCGUCCGUAGCUGGACCGAUAAGUCUCUUGGGAAAUCCGCCGGCUCAACCGGCGGGCGUCUAAGGGAUACUGUUAGUCUAGGGACCGGGAGAGGUGAGAGGUACUCCGGGGGUAGGAGUGAAAUCCUGUAAUCCCCGGGGGACCACCGAUGGCGAAGGCAUCUCACCAGAACGGCUCCGACAGUGAGGGACGAAAGCUGGGGGAGCGAACCGGAUUAGAUACCCGGGUAGUCCCAGCCGUAAACUAUGCGCGUUAGGUGUAC